This 448-nucleotide ribosomal RNA is filed under the name uncultured bacterium. Its description in RNAcentral is "bacterial SSU rRNA". It matches the Rfam family "Bacterial small subunit ribosomal RNA", at positions 355 to 796 of the family's 1533-position model. The record is from RNAcentral.
UUUCGAAUCAUUCACAAUGGGCGAAAGCCUGAUGGUGCGACGCCGCGUGAGGGAUGAAGGUCUUCGGAUUGUAAACCUCUGUCACCGGGGAAGAAACGCUUCAAGUUAAUAGUUUGAAGCCUGACUUAACCCGGAGAGGAAGCAGUGGCUAACUCUGUGCCAGCAGCCGCGGUAAUACAGAGACUGCGAGCGUUAUUCGGAUUCACUGGGCGUAAAGGGUGCGCAGGCGGCCAUGUGUGUGAGGCGUGAAAGCCCGGGGCUUAACCCCGGAAUUGCACCUCAAACUACAUGGCUAGAGCAUUGGAGAGGGUAGCAGAAUUCACGGUGUAGCAGUGAAAUGCGUAGAUAUCGUGAGGAAUACCAGAGGCGAAGGCGGCUACCUGGACAAUUGCUGACGCUCAGGCACGAAAGCGUGGGGAGCAAAAGGGAUUAGAUACCCCCGUAGUCC